Molecule: ribosomal RNA, 833 nt
Filed under: Halomonas sp. N87(2010)
Lineage: Bacteria; Pseudomonadati; Pseudomonadota; Gammaproteobacteria; Oceanospirillales; Halomonadaceae
Description: bacterial SSU rRNA
Rfam family: Bacterial small subunit ribosomal RNA
Source: RNAcentral
UUGCUGGAUGCUGACGAGCGGCGGACGGGUGAGUAAUGCAUAGGAAUCUGCCCGAUAGUGGGGGAUAACCUGGGGAAACCCAGGCUAAUACCGCAUACGUCCUACGGGAGAAAGGGGGCUCCGGCUCCCGCUAUGGGAUGAGCCUAUGUCGGAUUAGCUGGUUGGUGAGGUAACGGCUCACCAAGGCCACGAUCCGUAGCUGGUCUGAGAGGAUGAUCAGCCACAUCGGGACUGAGACACGGCCCGAACUCCUACGGGAGGCAGCAGUGGGGAAUAUUGGACAAUGGGGGAAACCCUGAUCCAGCCAUGCCGCGUGUGUGAAGAAGGCCCUCGGGUUGUAAAGCACUUUCAGCGAGGAAGAACGCCUAGCGGUUAAUACCCGCUAGGAAAGACAUCACUCGCAGAAGAAGCACCGGCUAACUCCGUGCCAGCAGCCGCGGUAAUACGGAGGGUGCAAGCGUUAAUCGGAAUUACUGGGCGUAAAGCGCGCGUAGGUGGCUUGAUAAGCCGGUUGUGAAAGCCCCGGGCUCAACCUGGGAACGGCAUCCGGAACUGUCAAGCUAGAGUGCAGGAGAGGAAGGUAGAAUUCCCGGUGUAGCGGUGAAAUGCGUAGAGAUCGGGAGGAAUACCAGUGGCGAAGGCGGCCUUCUGGACUGACACUGACACUGAGGUGCGAAAGCGUGGGUAGCAAACAGGAUUAGAUACCCUGGUAGUCCACGCCGUAAACGAUGUCGACCAGCCGUUGGGUGCCUAGCGCACUUUGUGGCGAAGUUAACGCGAUAAGUCGACCGCCUGGGGAGUACGGCCGCAAGGUUAAAACUCAAAUGAAUUGA